RNAcentral lists this long non-coding RNA (1239 nucleotides) under Brassica rapa (field mustard). RNAcentral's name for it is "long non-coding RNA (BRAP_LNC000754)". The record is from RNAcentral. Lineage: Eukaryota; Viridiplantae; Streptophyta; Magnoliopsida; Brassicales; Brassicaceae.
UAACAUAAUCACUAACAUAGUUCCGCUAUAUAAAACUUCGUUUGACAUUUGCCAUAAACAGAAGCAGAAUGAUAAAGAUAUAGAAAGCGUGUUAUCUCACACGAACAUAUCAAAUGGCUAAACACUACCUAAGAGGAAAUAGUCAUCUCGUACAAACUUAUAGAAUGGUUAAACACUAUCUAACGAGAAAAUAGCCUUCUAAACAUCUUGAAAUUACAAUUCCUCACGAAAGUGAAAAAGUUAAUCAACCUACACAAAUUAUUUCAUUCCGUACACAUAAUAACCAUUCCUUCGUUCCUAUAAUUUAAACCCACAUGACAAUAUUCUAACAGAUCCAUGUUCAUGUUCAUAAUAUCAAAGGUUCAACGCCUCAAUGACCUAACAACUCAAAAGAAUAUAAAACCAAUCCUACGCAGACACUAUCCAUAAGAUCAUCACUGAGCCACAGUUAUAAGCAGAUUGUAUAAAAUAAAGGAUGAUAAAUCGAGAACCCACGUGGAUUCUUUCAUGUAAUAACAUAAUCCUGAUACUGAUAGAAAACAUAGCAUCCAUUUGUUCCAACAAAAAACAUUCAAAUUCAGAUAGCAAAACCAACAAAAACUCUCACAAAUGUUUGGUUUCAAAAGGGAGAAAGACAAAGCAGGUUCCUCGAAACUACUUAGAUCGCUGUCUCAUCUUUCGUCUCUUCCUCUUCAACCUCCUCAUACGCUUCUUCUUCCACUGAUUCAAACCCAAACAGAGAUAAACAUUAAACAUACUAACCACUACUUCUAUUAAUCACAAUUAACAUAAAAAAAAAUCAUUACAAACCUUAGCUCUCAUGCUGGUUUCGACAAAAGUUGUAACCCUUUCCUUCCUCUGAUAGUGUUUUAGAUUUCAGAAAAUGAGAAGUAGCGGCGGAGAUUCUGUUCGUCUCGCUCAGCUUACUCCUUUAAAUGCAACAAAACCCUAGAACUCGUGUAAUGGGCCUAACUUAUUCAUAGGCCCAAUAAAGAUUACAUGUAACAAAACCCAAAAAAAAAACUCAAUUUUAUGAGCUGUAAUGAUUCACAGGCCCAAUAAAGCCCAAAUCCUUUCGUAGCCAUGCCGACAUAAGACAUUCCGACACGAGAAGAUUGAAGAUCUGUUCGAGAAAUUGAUUACAUGGAGAGUACAUUUCAUUAAAUAUCACAACUGAACAAGAUUAUUUUGACUUGCUUUCAUCGUCUUCGUCUCCAAAGGAUCCAUCUUUUCCUCUUC